Molecule: ribosomal RNA, 375 nt
Filed under: uncultured bacterium
Lineage: Bacteria
Description: bacterial SSU rRNA
Rfam family: Bacterial small subunit ribosomal RNA
Source: RNAcentral
UACGUAGGGAGCGAGCGUUGUCCGGAUUUACUGGGUGUAAAGGGUGCGUAGGCGGGUUUGCAAGUCAGGCGUGAAAUACCGAGGCUUAACUUCGGAGCUGCGCUUGAAACUGUAGAUCUUGAGUGAAGUAGAGGCAAGCGGAAUUCCUAGUGUAGCGGUGAAAUGCGUAGAUAUUAGGAGGAACACCAGUGGCGAAGGCGGCUUGCUGGGCUUUAACUGACGCUGAGGCACGAAAGCAUGGGGAGCAAACAGGAUUAGAUACCCUGGUAGUCCAUGCCGUAAACGAUGAUUGCUAGGUGUGGGGGGACUGACCCCUUCCGUGCCGGAGUAAACACAAUAAGCAAUCCACCUGGGGAGUACGACCGCAAGGUUGAA